RNAcentral lists this ribosomal RNA (620 nucleotides) under Aspergillus aculeatus. RNAcentral's name for it is "eukaryotic LSU rRNA". It matches the Rfam family "Eukaryotic large subunit ribosomal RNA", at positions 36 to 670 of the family's 3401-position model. Lineage: Eukaryota; Fungi; Ascomycota; Eurotiomycetes; Eurotiales; Aspergillaceae. The record is from RNAcentral.
AUUGCAUAUCAAUAAGCGGAGGAAAAGAAACCAACCGGGAUUGCCUCAGUAACGGCGAGUGAAGCGGCAAGAGCUCAAAUUUGAAAGCUGGCCCCUCCGGGGUCCGCGUUGUAAUUUGCAGAGGAUGCUUUGGGUGCGGCCCCCGUCUAAGUGCCCUGGAACGGGCCGUCAGAGAGGGUGAGAAUCCCGUCUUGGGCGGGGUGUCCGUGCCCGUGUAAAGCUCCUUCGACGAGUCGAGUUGUUUGGGAAUGCAGCUCUAAAUGGGUGGUAAAUUUCAUCUAAAGCUAAAUACUGGCCGGAGACCGAUAGCGCACAAGUAGAGUGAUCGAAAGAUGAAAAGCACUUUGAAAAGAGAGUUAAACAGCACGUGAAAUUGUUGAAAGGGAAGCGCUUGCGACCAGACUCGCCCUCGGGGUUCAGCCGGCACUCGUGCCGGUGUACUUCCCCGGGGGCGGGCCAGCGUCAGCUUGGGCGGCCGGUCAAAGGCCUCCGGAAUGUAGUGCCCCCCGGGGCACCUUAUAGCCGGAGGUGCAAUGCGGCCAGCCUGGGCUGAGGAACGCGCUUCGGCACGGACGCUGGCAUAAUGGUCGCAAACGACCCGUCUUGAAACACGGACCAAU